UUGCAGAUCAAGACCUACACUUUCAACCAGUCAAGAUACCCGAGAAUCGACAAGGAGACUCUGAUGCCAGUCACCAAGACUUGCUCUCUUGAGGGAGAUCUGGAGGGAUGGUACCCACCGGGCCACGGGGACUUCUACACCUCCUUCAGGAACUCUGGACUUUUGGACGAGUUCGUAGCCCAGGGCAAGGAAUACGUCUUCAUCAGUAACAUCGAUAACCUGGGCGCCACCGUCGACCUCAACAUCCUCAAUUUCCUCCUCGAGGGAGAGAAGAGCGGCCGGUGUCAGUUCCUCAUGGAAGUCACCGAUAAGACCAGGGCUGAUGUCAAGGGCGGUACCCUCAUCCAGUACGAAGACCGCCUAAGACUCCUGGAAAUCGCCCAGGUGCCCAAAGACCACGUCGACGACUUCAAGUCGGUGAAGACCUUCAAGAUUUUCAACACGAACAACUUGUGGAUCAAACUCAGGUGUAGGUGAAUCGUAAAUU
This is a long non-coding RNA of Macrobrachium nipponense, 487 nucleotides long. RefSeq lists it as uncharacterized. Lineage: Eukaryota; Metazoa; Arthropoda; Malacostraca; Decapoda; Palaemonidae. The record is from RefSeq and is a predicted model, not a curated record. The transcript is spliced from 4 exons.